Molecule: ribosomal RNA, 690 nt
Filed under: uncultured Enterobacterales bacterium
Lineage: Bacteria; Pseudomonadati; Pseudomonadota; Gammaproteobacteria; Enterobacterales
Description: bacterial SSU rRNA
Rfam family: Bacterial small subunit ribosomal RNA
Source: RNAcentral
CAGGCUUAACACAUGCAAGUCGAGCGGUAGCACAGGGGAGCUUGCUCUCGGGUGACGAGUGGCGGACGGGUGAGUAAUGUCUGGGAAACUGCCUGAUGGAGGGGGAUAACUACUGGAAACGGUAGCUAAUACCGCAUAACGUCGCAAGACCAAAGAGGGGGACCUUCGGGCCUCUUGCCAUCAGAUGUGCCCAGAUGGGAUUAGCUAGUAGGUGGGGUAACGGCUCACCUAGGCGACGAUCCCUAGCUGGUCUGAGAGGAUGACCAGCCACACUGGAACUGAGACACGGUCCAGACUCCUACGGGAGGCAGCAGUGGGGAAUAUUGCACAAUGGGCGCAAGCCUGAUGCAGCCAUGCCGCGUGUGUGAAGAAGGCCUUCGGGUUGUAAAGCACUUUCAGCGAGGAGGAAGGUGGUGAACUUAAUACGUUCAUCAAUUGACGUUACUCGCAGAAGAAGCACCGGCUAACUCCGUGCCAGCAGCCGCGGUAAUACGGAGGGUGCAAGCGUUAAUCGGAAUUACUGGGCGUAAAGCGCACGCAGGCGGUUUGUUAAGUCAGAUGUGAAAUCCCCGGGCUCAACCUGGGAACUGCAUUUGAAACUGGCAAGCUAGAGUCUCGUAGAGGGGGGUAGAAUUCCAGGUGUAGCGGUGAAAUGCGUAGAGAUCUGGAGGAAUACCGGUGGCGAAGGCG